AAGGCUUUAAGUUAACCAAACUAAUAGCCUUCAAAGCUGCAAAUAAAGUAUAUAUCUUUAAGCCUUA
Molecule: transfer RNA, 67 nt
Filed under: Pteronarcella badia
Lineage: Eukaryota; Metazoa; Arthropoda; Insecta; Plecoptera; Pteronarcyidae
Description: tRNA-Trp
Source: RNAcentral